CCGGGUUACUCACCCCUUUUCACGGCGCGACGUGGAAUAGGGGUUGAAGGGGCUGGAACGGCGGCCGGGCGGGACGGGUCGUGCGGCGGGUGAACGGCAGGGGCUGCACUGCGGCGGGCACGUGGAAGGGUCGUGCGGCGGCCUGGCGGAAGGCGUCGAGCGGUGGCAGGGGUGGAGGGAGGGCGCCGUCUUCGCGACGGCGGGGGUAGAGGGAGGGGCCGUCUGCGUGGAGGCGGGAGUGGAGGGAGGGGCUGUCUGCGUAGCAACACUGAGGUGGAGGACCGACCCGGCGGCGCUCGGAGGUGGAGGGCCGAAGGGCCGCGGCGGGGCAAACGGAGGAGGGCACCGGGGCGAGUUAGGUCGGGGCGGCAGAAGGGGCACGCUCGGUUGGUCCGGUCUGCCGGUGGGGACGUUCGUGAGCCGGAGCCACAAAAGAACCACCUCUGAUCCUCGUCGCUGUCUCUGCGGCGGGGCUCCGCCUUAGGGACGCAGGCGAACCAAGGCAGGUGCCGUCGUGUCGUGGAGAGGGGCAGUAGGUGGACGGUUCAAGUACAGCUGUCGAAGGUAAAGUCGGCAACUUCGACGUCUACCUCGCGCUGUACGUCGUCAUAGCGGGGUUGUCCGUACGUUGUGGCUGCUGCCGUCCCACACCGCACGCAGACAGGCCGUACGACCCGCACCACGGCUCCCCCGACGUCAAACUUAACCCACUCCCAAUUUCAAAUCCAUUACGAUAACAGACCACCGUUUCCUGGUACGUCCGACAAAGCAAUGACUUUUUUACGCACUACUUUUCCUUGUUCUAAAAAAGUUACUUGAGGA
Molecule: ribosomal RNA, 822 nt
Filed under: Triticum aestivum (bread wheat)
Lineage: Eukaryota; Viridiplantae; Streptophyta; Magnoliopsida; Poales; Poaceae
Description: partial small subunit ribosomal RNA
Source: RNAcentral